UACGAAGGACCCAAGCGUUAUCCGGAUUUAUUGGGUUUAAAGGGUGCGUAGGCGGAUUAUUAAGUCAGGGGUGAAAUCCUUGGGCUCAACCCAAGAACUGCCUUUGAAACUGUAAAGCUGGAGUGUCGGAGGGGAUAGCGGAAUUCCUAAUGUAGUGGUGAAAUACGUAGAUAUUAGGAGGAACACCGGUGGCGAAGGCGGCUAUCUGGACGACAACUGACGCUGAGGCGCGAAAGCGUGGGGAUCAAACAGG
This 253-nucleotide ribosomal RNA is filed under the name uncultured bacterium. Its description in RNAcentral is "partial 16S ribosomal RNA". It matches the Rfam family "Bacterial small subunit ribosomal RNA", at positions 524 to 776 of the family's 1533-position model. The record is from RNAcentral.